UACGGGGGGGGUAAGCGUUGUUCGGAAUUACUGGGCGUAAUGGGCUCGUAGGCGGCCAACUAAGUCAUACGUGAAAUCCCUCAGCUUAACUGGGGAACUGCGUGUGAUACUGGAUGGCUUGGAUUUGGGAGAGGGAUGCGGAAUUCCAGGUGUAGCGGUGAAAUGCGUAGAUAUCUGGAGGAACACCGGUGGCGAAGGCGGCAUCCUGGUCCAAUAUUGACGCUGAGGAGCGAAAGCCUGGGGAGCAAACGGG
Molecule: ribosomal RNA, 253 nt
Filed under: uncultured bacterium
Lineage: Bacteria
Description: partial 16S ribosomal RNA
Rfam family: Bacterial small subunit ribosomal RNA
Source: RNAcentral